RNAcentral lists this ribosomal RNA (465 nucleotides) under uncultured bacterium. Its description in RNAcentral is "bacterial SSU rRNA". It matches the Rfam family "Bacterial small subunit ribosomal RNA", at positions 40 to 507 of the family's 1533-position model. The record is from RNAcentral.
CGGCGUGCCUAACACAUGCAAGUCGAACGGAGCUAUUAUGGAAGUACCUUCGGGUGCGGAAGUUUUAGCUUAGCGGCGGACGGUGAGUAACGCGUGAGUAACCUGCCCAUAAGAGGGGGAUAACAACCGGAAACGGUUGCUAAUACCGCAUAUUAUGCUUUUGUCGCAUGACAGAGGUAUGAAAGAUUUAUCGCUUAUGGAUGGACUCGCGUCCAAUUAGCUAGUAGGUGAGGUAACGGCCCACCUAGGCGACGAUUGGUAGCCGAACUGAGAGGUUGAUCGGCCACAUUGGGACUGAGACACGGCCCAGACUCCUACGGGAGGCAGCAGUGGGGAAUAUUGCACAAUGGGGGAAACCCUGAUGCAGCAACGCCGCGUGAGUGAUGACGGCCUUCGGGUUGUAAAGCUCUGUCUUCAGGGACGAUAAUGACGGUACCUGAGGAGGAAGCCACGGCUAACUACGUG